This is a long non-coding RNA of Hirundo rustica (Barn swallow), 301 nucleotides long. RefSeq lists it as uncharacterized. The record is from RefSeq and is a predicted model, not a curated record. The transcript has 3 exons. NCBI's taxonomy places the organism in Eukaryota, Metazoa, Chordata, Aves, Passeriformes, Hirundinidae.
UUCCGCAGCAUGCCUUUUUCUUCAGGAGACGUUUUACAUUCCCGAUAAGCCUGGAUAAGGCUCUUUUGGAAGGUACAGGCUGUUGCUGUUUCUCUUGCAUCUAGCAUCACAGACCUUGGGUGCUGGAAAUGGAAGCAACAGUCCCCGUCAGACCCGGGGAGAAAGGAACAGCAGGAAAUCCUUGCGAGGAACGUUACCGUGCGAGCACGGAGAAGGAGGGAAAGAUCCCGGCGAACAAAGAGCCCCGAGGAGCUCCUGAGCCGGGCAGGGGGCGCGGGGCCGCCGCGGGGAGCUGGAGGUG